GAUGAACGCUGGCGGCGUGCCUAAUACAUGCAAGUCGAGCGAACAGACGAGGAGCUUGCUCCUCUGACGUUAGCGGCGGACGGGUGAGUAACACGUGGAUAACCUACCUAUAAGACUGGGAUAACUUCGGGAAACCGGAGCUAAUACCGGAUAAUAUAUUGAACCGCAUGGUUCAAUAGUGAAAGACGGUUUUGCUGUCACUUAUAGAUGGAUCCGCGCCGCAUUAGCUAGUUGGUAAGGUAACGGCUUACCAAGGCAACGAUGCGUAGCCGACCUGAGAGGGUGUUGGCCCACACUGAAACGGGGCACGGGUCCAGCUCCCAACGGGAGCAGGCGGUGGGAAACCUUCCGCAAGGGGGGAAAGCCGGACGGAGCAAGGCGGCGUGGGUGAUGAAGGUCUUCGGAUCGUAAAACCCUGUUAUAGGGGAAGACAAAUGUGUAAGUAACUAUGCACGUCUUGAUGGUACCUAAUCAGAAAGCCACGGCUAACUACGUG
RNAcentral lists this ribosomal RNA (496 nucleotides) under uncultured bacterium. RNAcentral describes it as "partial 16S ribosomal RNA". It matches the Rfam family "Bacterial small subunit ribosomal RNA", at positions 28 to 507 of the family's 1533-position model. The record is from RNAcentral.